RNAcentral lists this ribosomal RNA (253 nucleotides) under uncultured bacterium. RNAcentral describes it as "partial 16S ribosomal RNA". It matches the Rfam family "Bacterial small subunit ribosomal RNA", at positions 524 to 776 of the family's 1533-position model. The record is from RNAcentral.
UACAGAGGUCUCAAGCGUUGUUCGGAUUCAUUGGGCGUAAAGGGUGCGUAGGCGGCGCGGUAAGUCGGGUGUGAAAUCUUGGAGCUUAACUCCGAAACUGCAUUUGAUACUGCCGUGCUUGAGGACUGGAGAGGAGACUGGAAUUUACGGUGUAGCGGUGAAAUGUGUAGAGAUCGGGAGGAACACCGGUGGCGAAGGCGGGUCUCUGGGCAUCUCCUGACGCUGAGGCGCGAAAGCGUGGGGAGCAAACGGG